ACGGGUGAGUAACACGUGACUAACCUACCCUGGAGUGGGGGAUAACUGAGGGAAACCUUAGCUAAUACCGCAUAAUACCUACGGGUCAAAGGAGCAAUUCGCUUUGGGAGGGGGUCGCGGCCGAUUAGUUAGUUGGCGGGGUAAUGGCCCACCAAGACAGUGAUCGGUAUCCGGCCUGAGAGGGCGCACGGACACACUGGAACUGAAACACGGUCCAGACUCCUACGGGAGGCAGCAGUGGGGAAUUUUGCGCAAUGGGGGAAACCCUGACGCAGCAACGCCGCGUGGAGGAUGAAGUCCCUUGGGAUGUAAACUCCUUUCGAUCGGGACGAUUAUGACGGUACCGGAAGAAGAAGCACCGGCUAACUCUGUGCCAGCAGCCGCGG
This 386-nucleotide ribosomal RNA is filed under the name uncultured bacterium. Its description in RNAcentral is "bacterial SSU rRNA". It matches the Rfam family "Bacterial small subunit ribosomal RNA", at positions 102 to 520 of the family's 1533-position model. The record is from RNAcentral.